AGUGAACGCUGGCGGUAGGCCUAACACAUGCAAGUCGAACGGCAGCACAGUAAGAGCUUGCUCUUACGGGUGGCGAGUGGCGGACGGGUGAGGAAUACAUCGGACUCUACUUUUUCGUGGGGGAUAACGUAGGGAAACUUACGCUAAUACCGCAUACGACCUACGGGUGAAAGCAGGGGAUCUUCGGACCUUGCGCGAUUGAAUGAGCCGAUGUUGGUUUAGCUAGUUGGCGGGGUAAGGGCCAACCCAGGCGACGAUCCGUAGCUGGUCUGAGAGGAUGAUCAGCCACACGGGAACAGAGACACGGUCCAGACUCCGACGGUAGGCAGCAGUGGGGAAUAUUAGACAAUGGGCGCGAGCCUGAUCCAGCCAUACCGCGGGGGUGAAGAAGGACUUCGGGUUGGAAAGCCCUGUUGUUGGGAAAGAAAAGCAGCAGUUUAAUACCCCGCGGUACUGACGGUACCCAAAGAAUAAGCACCGGCUAACUUCGUG
RNAcentral lists this ribosomal RNA (492 nucleotides) under uncultured bacterium. Its description in RNAcentral is "partial 16S ribosomal RNA". It matches the Rfam family "Bacterial small subunit ribosomal RNA", at positions 29 to 507 of the family's 1533-position model. The record is from RNAcentral.